This 245-nucleotide ribosomal RNA is filed under the name uncultured Chloroflexota bacterium. Its description in RNAcentral is "uncultured Chloroflexi bacterium partial 16S ribosomal RNA". It matches the Rfam family "Bacterial small subunit ribosomal RNA", at positions 1137 to 1382 of the family's 1533-position model. The record is from RNAcentral. Lineage: Bacteria; Bacillati; Chloroflexota.
UUCCUAGCGAGACCGCCUCGCAAAACGAGGAGGAAGGCGGGGAUGGCGUCAAGUCAGCAUGGCCUUUAUACCCUGGGCGACACACACGCUACAAUGGGUGGUACAGUAGGUAGCGAAGGAGCGAUCCGGAGCAAAUCCUUAAAACCAUCCUCAGUACGGAUUGCAGGCUGAAACCCGCCUGCAUGAAGCCGGAGUUGCUAGUAACCGCAUAUCAGCAUGGUGCGGUGAAUACGUUCUCGGGCCUU